This 404-nucleotide ribosomal RNA is filed under the name Actinomycetes bacterium. Its description in RNAcentral is "Actinobacteria bacterium partial 16S ribosomal RNA". It matches the Rfam family "Bacterial small subunit ribosomal RNA", at positions 355 to 776 of the family's 1533-position model. The record is from RNAcentral. Lineage: Bacteria; Bacillati; Actinomycetota; Actinomycetes.
UGGGGAAUAUUGGACAAUGGGCGCAAGCCUGAUCCAGCCAUGCCGCGUGAGUGAUGAAGGCCCUAGGUUUGUAAAGCUCUUUCACCGGUGAAGAUAAUGACGGUAACCGGAGAAGAAGCCCCGGCUAACUUCGUGCCAGCAGCCGCGGUAAUACGAAGGGGGCUAGCGUUGUUCGGAUUUACUGGGCGUAAAGCGCACGUAGGCGGACUAUUAAGUCAGGGGUGAAAUCCCGGGGCUCAACCCCGGAACUGCCUUUGAUACUGGUAGUCUUGAGUUCGAGAGAGGUGAGUGGAAUUCCGAGUGUAGAGGUGAAAUUCGUAGAUAUUCGGAGGAAAACCAGUGGCGAAGGCGGCUCACUGGCUCGUUACUGACACUGAGGUGCGAAAGCGUGGGGAGCAAACAGG